This 423-nucleotide ribosomal RNA is filed under the name uncultured Gammaproteobacteria bacterium. Its description in RNAcentral is "bacterial SSU rRNA". It matches the Rfam family "Bacterial small subunit ribosomal RNA", at positions 9 to 429 of the family's 1533-position model. The record is from RNAcentral. Lineage: Bacteria; Pseudomonadati; Pseudomonadota; Gammaproteobacteria.
GAGUUUGAUCUUGGCUCAGAGUGAACGCUGGCGGCAGGCCUAACACAUGCAAGUCGAACGGCAGCACAGCAGUAGCAAUACUGUGGGUGGCGAGUGGCGGACGGGUGAGGAAUGCAUCGGAAUCUGCCUAUUUGUGGGGGAUAACGUAGGGAAACUUACGCUAAUACCGCAUACGUCCUACGGGAGAAAGUGGGGGACCUUCGGGCCUCACGCAGGUAGAUGAGCCGAUGCCGGAUUAGCUAGUUGGCGGGGUAAAGGCCCACCAAGGCGACGAUCCGUAGCUGGUCUGAGAGGAUGAUCAGCCACACUGGAACUGAGACACGGUCCAGACUCCUACGGGAGGCAGCAGUGGGGAAUAUUGGACAAUGGGCGCAAGCCUGAUCCAGCCAUGCCGCGUGUGUGAAGAAGGCCUUCGGUUGUAAG